GGGUUGUGAGGUUAAGCGACUAAGCGUACACGGUGGAUGCCCUGGCAGUCAGAGGCGAUGAAGGACGUGCUAAUCUGCGAUAAGCGUCGGUAAGGUGAUAUGAACCGUUAUAACCGGCGAUUUCCGAAUGGGGAAACCC
Molecule: ribosomal RNA, 139 nt
Filed under: Escherichia coli
Lineage: Bacteria; Pseudomonadati; Pseudomonadota; Gammaproteobacteria; Enterobacterales; Enterobacteriaceae
Also listed under: 1 other name
Description: partial 23S ribosomal RNA
Rfam family: Bacterial large subunit ribosomal RNA
Source: RNAcentral